RNAcentral lists this transfer RNA (68 nucleotides) under Marmota monax (woodchuck). It matches the Rfam family "tRNA". Rfam says of the family: Transfer RNA (tRNA) molecules are approximately 80 nucleotides in length. Their secondary structure includes four short double-helical elements and three loops (D, anti-codon, and T loops). Further hydrogen bonds mediate the characteristic L-shaped molecular structure. tRNAs have two regions of fundamental functional importance: the anti-codon, which is responsible for specific mRNA codon recognition, and the 3' end, to which the tRNAs corresponding amino acid is attached (by aminoacyl-tRNA synthetases). tRNAs cope with the degeneracy of the genetic code in two manners: having more than one tRNA (with a specific anti-codon) for a particular amino acid; and 'wobble' base-pairing, i.e. permitting non-standard base-pairing at the 3rd anti-codon position. Lineage: Eukaryota; Metazoa; Chordata; Mammalia; Rodentia; Sciuridae. The record is from Rfam by way of RNAcentral.
GUGGUGGCUCAGUGGUAGAGUGCUUGCCUAGCAUGUAUGAGGCCCUGGGUUCGAUUCUCAGCACCACA